CAGCACAGCCAUGUCAAACUGCCAUAGCCAUAUCACCCUGCAGCCCAAGACUGGUUACUCAUUGAAGCUAAGCAGAUCUGAGCCUGGUCAGUACCUGAAUGGGAGACCACAAAGGUUGCUGUUGGAAGUUGUGUUAG
This 137-nucleotide ribosomal RNA is filed under the name Danio rerio (zebrafish). Lineage: Eukaryota; Metazoa; Chordata; Actinopteri; Cypriniformes; Danionidae. The record is from RNAcentral.